Long non-coding RNA from Chinchilla lanigera (long-tailed chinchilla), 1293 nucleotides. RefSeq lists it as uncharacterized. NCBI's taxonomy places the organism in Eukaryota, Metazoa, Chordata, Mammalia, Rodentia, Chinchillidae. The transcript has 3 exons. The record is from RefSeq and is a predicted model, not a curated record.
UUCAGGCCGGGAUGGGGGCCUGGGGGGCGGGGGCCCGAGGAGGUGCGGGGCGGGGAGGGAGCUCGGGAGGCACCGGGCGCCGUUAGCGCCCUGGCAUCGCUGUUUUGUUGUUGGGUCACGAGUGCGCCUCUGCACGCAGGCGCCGCCGCCGCCCCGGAGUUGUGUGCAGAGCUGACUUUUGGAGGGCUGAGUUGCAGGCGGCGGGCGCAUCCCGGCGAUGGCGGGGCAGGAGGGAGGGAAGGAGGAGGGGGUGGGGAGGGAGGUGCAGAUUUGCACGGCUGGCCUCAGCGGGAGGCGCGGAAAUGCAAGCCGAGCUUGCUGGCGAGGAAGCCCCCGGGGCCUGGCACCCCCCCCCAAAACGACCCCCCACCUCAGUCCCUGCUCCUUUACCCACGGCUUUCUUCAGACACUCGAUCCAAUUACCUGCGUUGGCGACCCACAUACAAAGCAUUUUGUAUAUGAGGAAGAAAUUGACGUUCAGGAAGGAGAUACCCACAGAAUCGGACCUAGCGCUCCUAACGCAGCUCCCAAACGAGCCAAAGGCCGACUGAGCCCCUCUCCUCCCAGAGGCAGAGAAGGAAGAAGAGAGGAGGAACAGCUCUGCUGGUGCUGAUGGGCAUGCUCUGGGCCUGGCCUGAAGAUGGAACAAGUUUAGGACCAGAACCCAAGACUGUAGAGAAAGCCAGGCUUUCUCCACUUACAGUAGCUCCUGACUUUAGGAGAACUUGCUUUUAAGCAAGGCCCCUCACUCUUGUUAUCUCUCUGAAUUCUUUUUUUAUUGUUGUUGUUCCCCCACCACCACCAGGUAUCGAACUCACAACCUUGCACUUGCCAGGCAGGCGCUGUGCCGCUGAGCUAAAUCCCCAGCCCCCUAUCUCUCUGAAUUCUUGCCAAAGCUCUGUGAGGAAGGGGUUUUAAUUCCCCACUUUCAAAGCUUAAGCUCAAAGAGAGAUCAAGUUACUGGAACAAAUUUUACAGCUGUGAAACAGCCGCCAUAGGAUUUGAACCCAGCGCUUGUAGGACUCCAAAGCUCACAAGGGUGAACGCUGCGUAAGCCUCCCUGCAGGGCUGUGCCAUCGAGCAUGUUGGAAAUAAUGUGUAUCUCCACUUAGGCAGGCACCUCUACCCGAAUCCUGGCUUUUGAGCACUUGGAGUAUGGGUACUGGGAUUAAAGGUCUUUGUGUUAUUGUGCUGGGGAUUGAACCCACGGCCACACAGGCUAAGCAUGCCCUCUGCCAUUGCACUAUACCUCGAGCACAAAUUUUAAUAAAAAUUAAACAGUGUAACCCCAGA